Long non-coding RNA from Alexandromys fortis (reed vole), 1054 nucleotides. RefSeq lists it as uncharacterized. The transcript is spliced from 3 exons. Lineage: Eukaryota; Metazoa; Chordata; Mammalia; Rodentia; Cricetidae. The record is from RefSeq and is a predicted model, not a curated record.
ACACAGCCAGACUGUGUGGGGGGGGGGGCUGGAAUGUGAAAAGCCAGGGGGAGAAGAAUGACGGGACAUUUUCUAUUUGUAAGCCUGCGAGUUUGGCUUGCCACUUGAAUUUCAAGUGGGCCCUUCAGGCAGAUAGGGAAGUCAGGUGAGAGAGCGGAGGCAGUCGAUUUGAAUUGUCGAAAUUCCUCGAAAAUAAAUUCUAGGGAUUUCAACUGUAGGAGGAAGGUAGCUCAGGUUGACUAAACUUCAGGCACAUUUGCAGCAGGGGUGGGGCCUGGCGGUGGGGGAGGCGUUUGCUUUUUAUCUGUUUGCAUACCAUGUUUUCCCCUCAAAUUAUUUUGCCUUUCGAAUCAUAUCUAACAGACAAAUUAAAGCUUUGAACUAAGGUUUUUAUUUAUCUAUUUUUGUUCUAACUGAGCUGCGGAUCUCUUCUGGAGGAAAAAAAAACCCCACUCCUUUUAAGUACUGUUUUUGGUUACUGCUCUUUGUUUGAAGUAAUUACUGCCCUGGCAAGUGGGAAAUAACAGAUCGCUGGUUAUCAGAAGGAAGUAAGCACUUUGGAUGGGCCAGACGCCUGCCCUGGAUGGCUGCUCCAGACCCUGCCAACCGCCCAGGGCACAGCACAGCCUUCAGCCCUGGACUGCAAUGACGGGAAUCAACCCAAGGAAGCCAUCAAUAAAGCUGGGGCAGCUUCAGUCCCCACCCCAGAUACAGGGCUGUAGCGGUGACCAGGAAGAAAACUGCCCCCGCUGGAGGUUGUUUUUGUGACUGUUCUUUGGAGCAUUGUUCUAAAAAUGGGAAAUUACAUCUUGCCAUGCCAAAGGCAACAACACCUGCGGUUAAAGGGACACCUUCCCUGAGGUAGCUUUUCAGAGCGUGCACAAUCGUAGCUAUGGCCACCUCUGAACGGAGGCUGUGGCAGAAGAUCAACGCGUGCUUUCUUUUCUCGCAAGCGGUGGGGUGUGGGCUUAUCUUUGCCACUAGGGUGGGCUUCGGCAGCUAUUGGUACAGGUGACUAUCUAUUAUCCACCCAAUAAACAUUUGUCAAGCAUCA